UUCGAAGACAAUGCGGUUCUCCGUCGCCAACAUGAAGACGUUAAUUUGUUUAACACGAGUGUAGAAUCGAUACACUGUCUCAAUGCGGUGCGAAUGGGCGUGGCCUGUCUGCUAACAAUCAACUCGACCGUAUCGCUGUAAAAUUGUUAAUCCCGUCUUUCCGGUCAUAAAUAUAAUACAAGUCGACAGCAAACACGGUUUGUGAUCAAAGUCUUCCUGUUUGGAAAUUCUGAGCUCUCACUGCUUUCGAGUGUGUUUGUGUGUGUGUGUGUGUGUGUGUGUGUGUGUGAGUGCGCUGCAGAGAGCCUCUCCGUGCCGCAAACAAGCACUCCUAAUCUGCCUUCUCAUCUAAAGCUGUCUGAUGUCCUCAAUUAGAGCGAGCCGGCUCCUCGAGAGCUCCUGCAGUAGAAGAGCGAGGAGAUCAGCGUGAGCCGCGCCCGAGAUCCACACCGUCUGUAUGACACGUUCUGUACAGAACCCGUGGAGACGUUCCAGCAGAGAAAGAGCUAUGAGAGGCCAGUGCGGACCUGGAUUGUGUGUGUGUGUGUGCGCGUGAAGAUGAGUUACGCAACACACCGGAACAGCUGUGAGGCGUCCCGGACUCCAGUUACGCUUCUCUGUAAAGGCAAUCAGCUCACUCACACCCGAGACCUUGUGAGCGUAACUGUGUGUAUGAGGAGGACAGAGACGGAGGAGUCAGAUGUGUGACUCAUGAGGAGAAAGUACAGGGUGAAUCAGAAGGUCAUUCAGAUUCCACAUAAAUAAAAGAUGGAAGGAAAUGACGCCACUGUGUGACGUCGCACCGACUCCUCUCGCCCGGGGCUUCGCUGUCACAGUCCUGUUUGUAUUGGCAUGCAGGUGUGUUUGUGAUGGAGUCGCUCUGGAGGACUGCAUCCGAUGCUACGUUUAUAUAUUUGACAUUCGAGGCGUCCCUGUGUAACACAGCACGAUGAUAAAGUGAUUGAUGACUGCAGAGUGUGUGUGCGUCUGCUCCUGAGGAGUGUGUGUCUGCUCCUGAGGAGUGUGUGUCUGCUCCUGAGGAGUGUGUGUCUGUUAAGCGGAGUAUCCGUUCGGUAGAGGGGAAACCUUCAUGGACUGAUAGACAAUAAAACCACACCUCCUUUAAUUAGAUCAGCAAGUACAGAGGCCACGCCUACUUUAUUUACACUAGCAUGUAUAAAGGCCACACCCACUUUGCUUAGAUUGACAGGUACAGACCCUAUACAGUCCAUCCUUCACGCUAAGUCACAUGGACUACGGCCACGCCUCCUUCAGUUGGGCUGUAAAAAGUAAAAGCCACACCUCCUUCACUCUCACAAGCACAAAGGCCACACCCCCUUCAUUUUUUUAAGCAUAUAAACCACACCUACUUUAUUUUAUAUGCAAAGGCCACACCUUCUUUAUUUUGGAAGCACAAAGGUCACACCUUCACCAUCAAAUGCACAAAAGCCACACCUCCUUUAUUCUAUGAACACAAACACCACGCCUCCUUCACAGUCACAUGCACAAAAGCCACACCUUUAUUUUCUAAGCACAAAGUCACACCCCCUCCUUUUUUUAUAACCACAAAAAGCCAUGCCUCAUUCACUUUCAAACACAAAAGCCUUUUAUAAACAAAGGCCACACCCCCUUUGUUUUAUAAACAAAGGCCA
Molecule: long non-coding RNA, 1652 nt
Organism: Clarias gariepinus (North African catfish)
Lineage: Eukaryota; Metazoa; Chordata; Actinopteri; Siluriformes; Clariidae
Exons: 3
Source: RefSeq, a predicted model, not a curated record